AUCAGCCUCAGUGCCCAGCUCCUCCAGCCAAAUAAAACACAAAAGAAGAAUCUAAAUUCAUGACCAAGUAUCAAAUAUUUAUUGAGACACUUAAUGUGUUUGUAGCUUACUUGUCUCCAUCACUUUAGAACUUCCAUUUCGUAUUUUAUAAAUUAAACAACUUUUCUAGCUUUACUUCACAUAAAGAGUGAUUUUAAGGUGAUGUGGCAUAUUACUGCCCCUUCCUUCAGGACUUACUGUCAACUGAAUCAUGUCAGUACCAGCUCCAUCAGCUGCUGGGACUCCUUCCAUCUGCAGGACAUCCCCAGCCACCAUGCUGACAAGAGAGCUGACAACAUCAGUGGUCAGUAUCUGCUGAAAUAUCACCCCCAGAGCUGGUAGCCAGUAGAUAAAUGCAGGAAAGCAAUAACUGCCGUAGCAAGGAGGAAGUGGCCCAUGUAUUUUCACAUUAGUAGUCCAGUGCUAUUAACCAUGUUGGAGCGGGUGCAGCUAACACCUCCUGUGCAACUCUUUACAGCUGUGACAGUUUAUUAAGCUCUUUUGGGUUAUGUUCAGUGGUGUCCAGCACAAAGAAAUCAGCAUCUGCACAAACUGUGGGAUCCUCACUGAUCAGUUUGAAGCGAAGCUCUCGUCGAUCACAACACAUGCCCUUCCUCUGUGAAAAUUAGACAAAGGAGAUCAAAUCCAAUGCCUGAAAAGAAAGCUCUGCACCUCUAGACUGUUCUGGACCAAACCUUUCAGAGCAACGAGUUCCAUCCCACACCCUUCAUCCUGUGUGCCCAUGUCUGUCCAUAUCUGCUAGUCCCAGGAAGGUGGACUGUGGACCACCACUCUUCGUUACAACAGAUUAUAAUUACUUAUCAUGCCAGUAUGCUCACUGGUAUCAUUAGAAAACAAGACAUCUGAGGUUUUUUACAUGUAGACAAAAAUAUAACGUUCUUUGAGAGCUACAGCACUCUGAAUUGUGCAUAACACUGACAUUUCCUAAAAGUACUAUUUCGCAGCUGGACCAUGAAAAUCUCCUCAAACUAGAAGCAAUAAACCAAAAUGGGAGGUACAAUGGUUCAAAAUAAUCACUGACUAAGGAACAGAUAAGAUCAUGUUUGGAAAUCUUUAGUAAAUACCAGAUUUGCUUACGAAACUCACAUCCAAACAUGUGGAAAUAAUCAAUACAUUUUCAGAAUCACAAGUUAUUACUUUUAAAAUGAAC
Molecule: long non-coding RNA, 1210 nt
Organism: Gallus gallus (chicken)
Lineage: Eukaryota; Metazoa; Chordata; Aves; Galliformes; Phasianidae
Source: Ensembl